Camellia sinensis is the source of this 547-nucleotide non-coding RNA. The record is from RefSeq and is a predicted model, not a curated record. NCBI's taxonomy places the organism in Eukaryota, Viridiplantae, Streptophyta, Magnoliopsida, Ericales, Theaceae.
GAAGAAGUGGGCUUACUCUUUUUCUUCUUCAGAAACUGUUUUGUUGAAUACGGUUUGGAGAGGGAGAGAAGAACCGAGAGAGUGAGAGAGAGAAGUCCAACCAUUAUGCUGGAAAAAGCUUUGGAGAAAUGGGUUUAAGAGAUCUAAAUGAAGAUAAGAGAGGAAACUCAAGGAAUUAAAAAGAAAUUCAGCCAUUGAAGGUUAAAGGUCACGCGUUAUCGUUCGCCUGAUCUAUCUGAAUUGUCUGCAUUAUCUGAUCUGCUAGUGGAGCCAAUGUGGUCAGGCACCGGAUCAAAGUUAGCAGCGUCAGCCUAAUUCCGUUUCGUCAAACCAACCCACUGUGCCUCCCGUGGAGGUUCCGGACAUGUCUAGUGAUUGUGGCUAAGUGCAUAAGUUGAAGUUCUGUUUUCCUGUUCAGCUAGACAAGUCUUUGUGUAUUUUGUAAAUAGGGCUAAGUCCCUUUUUGUCUAGCUUAUAUACGUAUAUAUAUGAUGAUGUGUAUAUGUAUGUAUAUAAAGUUUAAAAUUUUUCUGUCUCAUAUAAGUCU